Long non-coding RNA from Micropterus salmoides (largemouth bass), 3964 nucleotides. RefSeq lists it as uncharacterized. The transcript is spliced from 2 exons. Lineage: Eukaryota; Metazoa; Chordata; Actinopteri; Centrarchiformes; Centrarchidae. The record is from RefSeq and is a predicted model, not a curated record.
UUUACUAGCUGCACCAGCAGGGGGACACAGGAGUUGACAGGAUGUCCACUGCACUACUCAGCGUCAUGCUCAUCUGUAGGAGACAACAAGGAAAUGGACUGUAGCCCGGUUUCAGCUAAACCAGCUCCUGACCCUGGACUGGGUUCAUCCUUGUCAUCUGCAGGUAAGUCUGCUGUACAGUUUGCUAACUGAGUGUAACCGGCGGUGAGUUAUUUGUGUUACGUUAACCCACGUUACAUAACAAGCUCACAUUAGUUCAUGUCGAGAGAUUGUAUGGAUUUCACAAUAAUUGGUCAUUCACUCUACAACUGGAAUUAAAGUUGCAAGCAGUGUUGGAUGGGGGGAGGUCGGGAGACAUUCCUCUCAAUUAUCAUGCGUUUCAAAACGGUCAUGAGUUAAUCGUGACUUCCUGUGUCCCCAGUGUGACACUAGUGAACACCUGCUAAUUAUAUGUUGUGUACCAGUACGUUAAGUGUGGAUGACUUUGUGAAAAUGCCAUACAUCAAAUUGUUUUUGUCACAAAGGGCUUACUUCCUGUUGCCAGCAUGUGAUGCUUCAGGGUGUGACCCCUAUCAAACAUUUGAAAUUUGGUAGCAAUAUGAUUAUGUGCAUUGAAGUAACAAAAACUUCCUGUUUGAUGGCAAAUAAUCGAAAAAUUUAGUAGUAGUAUCUAAUCAGUUGUUACUAGUAAAACGGGAAUAGUUACUAGUAGCUAAUGGAAUAGUUACUAGUAACUAAUAAAUAAGUACUAGUAGAUUACAAAUAGCAACUCGUAAGUUUAAAGGAAUAAAUGUUAAAAUGGCUUGCCAUAGUUCUACCAUAUAUUACUGAGCCUUUUCCCUUCUGUGUCCCUCAGCAGCACCGUGGCCUCAUUCUGUCCAAGCUGAUACUGCACUCUACAUAGUAUUGUAUUUACUAUUGAAUACUUUAUCACUGUAUGCGUCUGAAAAUUGUUUUUGUAGAAUACAGUCUUGUAUUAGGUUGCUACUAAAGUUGUACCGUAUGCAUUAAUUUAUGUUCAAAUUAUGUUACACCUUCUUGUCAGAGCUGUUACAAAAAGUUGAAAAUCUACGGAAGCCCUAAGCAGCCAUCCAUUCAAAUAUUUUUGUACUCCGUAUUCACGUGAUAACGAGAUUAUUAUGUCGAUUUCUCGAGAUAGCAAGUGUUGUUUUCUUGUGAUAACGGGAUAACUAUUUUGAGAUCUCGAGAUACUUCAGUAAAAAGCUGUAUUCUAUAAAGACCACUCAGGAAUACUGCAUUUCAAUUACAAUAUAUUUUGAUGUGAAAUAAUCACAUACUUUGAUGUGAAAUUUAAAUACAAAAAUACAAUCGGUACAACCAGUUUCAAAACAUCAGUUCCUACAAGUAACUCACCACAGGUAACACUCAGUUAGCAAACUGCACAGCAGACCAGAUGAGCAUGACCCUGGGUAGUGCAGUGAAUGUUGCUGUCUCCCCCUGCUGGUGCAGCUAGUAAACUGCUCUCAAACUCAAACAAAACAGAUAUCUUUUUACAGAUCUUAGUGGAAGACACUGGACAAGAUUCCAUAGAUGUGUGAAAAGGAACUAACAACUGUUACCUGACAUGCAAAUUAACAGGAAGCAAUCUGCAAAUGUGUAAAAACUGGCACAGGGUUAACACUGCUAAUACAAAGUUAGAAACGUGUAGAAAACCGGCACUGCACAGCAGACUCUCACAGCAGACAGCAGAACUAGAAAUGACCAGAUACUGAGUCUUGAGCGCUCAGAUCAAUAUGAGAUCAACAUGAUCUUUGUGCUGGUUGAAACCAUGCAAAAGUCAUUCUUCUACAGUUGUUCUACAGAUGAGGAUGACAGUAGGUAACUUUUAGUUUAGUGGAAAAUCCAACUCAUGAGAGAGGUCAUGUUGCUGCUGACACCUGCUGGUGUAGCUUUUAAACUCCCUCAUACUUAAAGAUAUCUUUUUACAGAUUUCAGCCCUACACAUUGGAUAAAAUUCCACAAAUGCAUAAAAGGGAAGUCACAAAUGCAACGUUAACAGGAAGUGAUCCAUAAAUGUGAAAAAAAUGUUUUGUAUGUAGAAAUGGAUCCACAAAUGCCUACCACUUUGUAUGUGAAAUUUAAAAAAAGUAAGAGUAUAUUGUGCAUAUUUGCAAAUCACACUGUAUUUUUGUGGAUAUGAUUUUACACAAAUCCAUGUUUGUGGGUAGUGUGAGAUUUGUCUACAGAUUUCCACAGGAAACAUUGGACAAAAUUCCACAAUGUGUAAAAGGAAAGUCACAAAUGUGCAAAAACUGUUAAUGGGUACAAAUCACUUUUUUGUGGACAGGAUUUUACACAACACAAUUGUAAAAAUACGUAUUUGUGGAUCAUAGUACACAUUUGUGGAUUGUCUUCUGGGGGUUACAAAUAAUAAAUUCCAAUAAAAUCAUCCAUACCAAAGCUAUUUAGUGAAUCAGAUGAGUGUAUACCUGAAUUUGUUCCACUCAUGCAAACUUAAGUUGUCACAAACCAGUUGUGACCCCUGUCCAGUGACAGCUGGUGUUUUUAGAGCUGUUGGGCAGGGUCUCUGGGUCCCUGGGCUGGUGCUCCCACACAGUAGGCUAAUCUUCAUUCGCGCAGCUUCCCUGCAUUACUGACAAUCACCAACUUUACUUAAGAUCAGGCCAGCUUUCCAGUCCCCGCCCGAUCAUUGUUUCAUUUGAGUAUGCUCAUGCGUCAUCCACCUUGUCUGUCAUUUCAAAACCUGCUAGUUCCAAUAUCUGUUCUGAUUGACUGUUGUCUUGUUGAACACAGGUAAAUGUACAUAUUCUUAACAGGUCACAUUUGAAAGGAUUUUAACACCAAACACCCAAUAGUCAUUCCAAAAAAAAAAGAAAUGUCGCUUGAAAUAUACUAGUCAACAUUUAAGAACUAAUCCUUCUCUUUUCAAAAUAGAAUUAGGCUUUUAGGUCAACCCUAACCCUAGUCUGGAUCUAUGGCAGUCUGUACAAUACAGUACUAUUGUACAUUGUCUAAAAUUGUUGCUAUAGUCUUUCAAAGUAAAAAAUAACUUAACUAAACUGUGGGCUUCACACACAUUGUCAUCUCAUCAAUAAAACCAUCUGUUAUCUGUAAUUCAAAGAAAGCAGACAGACUCAGUCCAGUGCACAUAAAUGGAUUAAGUGCACAUCCCUUUCACUGCAUGUUACAUUGUGAAAAUGUCUAAGUUAACAGAGAGAUUGUUUCCUAUUCCAGCACCCCCCACCCCCCACCCCCAGUGAUAAGCAAAAUGUUUAUGGUUCUAAAGGUAUAACGAUUUCUUCAUCAGUACUUAUAAAAAUCACCAAAAGACAACUUUUAAUAUGAUUGAUUUUUUUAAUGUUCAUCUGAAAAAAAUACCAGAUAUAAUGAUUAAUUGCUUUAUGUUUUUUUUUUUGUUUUUCCAUUUGCCAGAAAGCUAUAUUUACUAAAAAAAGAAGAAGAAAGAAACAACAACUAUUUACUGUACAAAUUAAAAUGGUUCUCAGUUUUUUUCCAAAAGGGAGAACAUGGAGGUUUAUGCAGGAGACACAGAGGAGACCUCUGUCUUUGAUGUGGAUACUUCAGAGCCAUCAUCUGCUUCUUUGCCAAAGAGCUGCAUGAUGCAUGAUCGGAACUAUAAGACAUAGAUGACUGGGUUCCAGAUGGUGGCGCUCUUGGCAAAGUAUGCAGGCAUGGAAGCAGCCAGAGGAUGGAAGGCAUACCCAGGAUUAGCCGCAGCAAAGCAGGCGAAAAAGGUGUAAGGUCCCCAGCAGAAACAAUAUGCAAAGAUCAUGAUAACAACCAUCCUGGAAACUUCUCUCUCAGCUUUCUGUGUUGACUCUGAUUCCUUCUGCUGCAUGGCAACCUGCGGUCGACAAUCCAACACAGUGUGAGAUUCUGCCAGACUGUGGUCUAUACCAGGCUAUAUAAAGUACAGAACUGCAGGUAAGAUAACUUACAGCACGGAUAGCCAUCCAGACUG